Molecule: unclassified non-coding RNA, 454 nt
Filed under: Hevea brasiliensis (rubber tree)
Lineage: Eukaryota; Viridiplantae; Streptophyta; Magnoliopsida; Malpighiales; Euphorbiaceae
Source: RNAcentral
AGUUCUUCCACUUCUAUGAACGUAAACUUCAGCUGAAUGAGGUAGCUGAUAGUGAAUGACGGUUCGAACACCAGGAAUAUCCAAACCUCUGGCUGCAACAUCUGUAGCAAUGAGUAUACCAUGCUCAUGUCCCCGAAACCGGUCAAUUGCCUUAAGUCGAGCUCUCUGUUGCAUCUGGGCAUGAAGUGUCCAGACAUUGACGCCAAGGAUGCGCAAGAGGGAGGAGAUAUGGCGUAAAGCUGCAAUGGACGUACAGAAGACAAUUGUCCGACCUUGUCCAUGAACACUCAAAAUGUAAUACAAAUACCCAUCUUUAUCUUCAUCCCUGCAGUCUAUAAACGACUCCUCGAGCUUGUUGGCUAGAAUUGAUGCAUUAGUCAGAUCAAUGAUUGCCGCAUCUGCCCUCAUUCCUGCUCUCUCAGACAGAGUUUCUAUUGAAUUCAACUCAUCGUUU